UACGUAGGUGGCAAGCGUUAUCCGGAAUUACUGGGCGUAAAGCGCACGCAGGUGGUCAUUUAAGUCUGAUGUGAAAGCUCUUGGCUUAACUGGGAGAGGUCGUUGGAAACUGGAUGACUUGAGGUGAUGAGAGGGGUGUGGAAUUCCCGGUGUAGUGGUGGAAUGCGUAGAGAUCGGGAGGAACACCAGUGGCGAAAGCGGCACCCUGGCAUUGACCUGACGCUCAGGUGCGAAAGCGUGGGGAGCGAAC
RNAcentral lists this ribosomal RNA (250 nucleotides) under uncultured bacterium. Its description in RNAcentral is "partial 16S ribosomal RNA". It matches the Rfam family "Bacterial small subunit ribosomal RNA", at positions 524 to 773 of the family's 1533-position model. The record is from RNAcentral.